ACUGCUAUCGGGGUGGGACUAAGACAUGCAAGUUGAGCGUCUCUAGGCUAUGGUAGAGACGCGGCAUACGGCUCAGUAGCACGUGGCCAACCUACCCUUAGGACGGGGACAACCCCGGGAAACUGGGACUAAUAUCCGAUAGAUUAGGAGGCCUGGAAUGGUUCUUAGUCGAAAGGGCUUUGAAACCAUGCUUUUCAACGUCGCCUAAGGAUGGGGCCGCGCCCGAUCAGGCUGUUGGUGGGGUAAUGGCUCACCAAACCUAUAACCGGUGCGGGCCGUGAGAGCGGGAGCCCGGAGAUGGGCACUGAGAUAAGGGCCCAGGCCCUACGGGGCGCAGCAGUCGCGAAAACUCCGCAAUGCGCGAAAGCGUGACGGGGCUACCCCGAGUGCCGUCCGCUGAGGAUGGCUUUUCCCCGGUGUAAUGAGCCGGGGGAAUAAGGAGAGGGCAAGUCUGGUGUCAGCCGCCGCGGUAAUACCAGCUCUCCGAGUGGUAGGGACGAUUAUUGGGCUUAAAGCGUCCGUAGCCGGCUUAGCAAGUCUCCUGUUAAAUUAAGCGACCUAAUCGUUGAGCCGCGGGAGAUACUACUAGGCUAGGAGGCGGGAGGGGCCGACGGUAUUCUCGGGGUAGGGGUGAAAUCCUAUAAUCCCGGGAGGACCACCAGUGGCGAAGGCUGUCGGCUAGAACGCGCUCGACGGUGAGGGACGAAAGCUGGGGGAGCGAACCGGAUUAGAUACCCGGGUAGUCCCAGCUGUAAACGAUGCGGGCUAGGUGUUGGGGUGGCUACGAGCCACUUCAGUGCCGCAGGGAAGCCAUUAAGCCCGCCGCCUGGGGAGUACGGCCGCAAGGCUGAAACUUAAAGGAAUUGGGCGGGGGAGCACCACAAGGCGUGAGG
RNAcentral lists this ribosomal RNA (893 nucleotides) under uncultured archaeon. Its description in RNAcentral is "bacterial SSU rRNA". It matches the Rfam family "Archaeal small subunit ribosomal RNA", at positions 26 to 893 of the family's 1478-position model. The record is from RNAcentral.